CGCAGUAACCUGACUGUGCUAAGGUAGCAUAAUCAUUUGUUUAAUAAAUUUAAACUAGAAUGAAAGGAAAAAAGUAUAUUAACUGUUAAUUACAAAUUUUUUGAAAUCCUUUUUAAAGUGCAAAAACUUUAAUUAGUAACAUAAACGAGAAGACCCUAAAAAUUUUAAUCUAUUUCGUUGGGACAAUACUAUUAUAUAAUUAUUAUAUGUCAAACAUUAACUAUACUAAUUAAUCAAAUAAAAUUACUUUAGGGAUAACAGCACAAUAACUAUAAAGAGACCUAAUCUAAAUAGUUGCUUGUGACCUCGAUGUUGAAUCAUUUUAACAAAACUUGCAGAAGAGUUUUACCUGUCGUC
This 357-nucleotide ribosomal RNA is filed under the name Trichuris suis (pig whipworm). Its description in RNAcentral is "partial large subunit ribosomal RNA". It matches the Rfam family "Archaeal large subunit ribosomal RNA", at positions 2009 to 2645 of the family's 2987-position model. Lineage: Eukaryota; Metazoa; Nematoda; Enoplea; Trichinellida; Trichuridae. The record is from RNAcentral.